UCCGGGCUGCAUAUAUGUUCUGCAUAUGAAA
RNAcentral lists this non-coding RNA (31 nucleotides) under Homo sapiens (human). Lineage: Eukaryota; Metazoa; Chordata; Mammalia; Primates; Hominidae. The record is from RNAcentral.